AGAGUUUGAUCAUGGCUCAGAGCGAGCGCUGGCGGCAGGCUUAACACAUGCAAGUCGAGCGGGCGUAGCAAUACGUCAGCGGCAGACGGGUGAGUAACGCGUGGGAACAUACCUUUUGGUUCGGAACAACACAGGGAAACUUGUGCUAAUACCGGAUAAGCCCUUACGGGGAAAGAUUUAUCGCCGAAAGAUUGGCCCGCGUCUGAUUAGCUAGUUGGUGAGGUAACGGCUCACCAAGGCGACGAUCAGUAGCUGGUCUGAGAGGAUGAUCAGCCACAUUGGGACUGAGACACGGCCCAAACUCCUACGGGAGGCAGCAGUGGGGAAUAUUGGACAAUGGGCGCAAGCCUGAUCCAGCCAUGCCGCGUGAGUGAUGAAGGCCCUAGGGUUGUAAAGCUCUUUUGUGCGGGAAGAUAAUGACGGUACCGCAAGAAUAAGCCCCGGCUAACUUCGUGCCAGCAGCCGCGGUAAUACGAAGGGGGCUAGCGUUGCUCGGAAUCACUGGGCGUAAAGGGUGCGUAGGCGGGUCUUUAAGUCAGGGGUGAAAUCCUGGAGCUCAACUCCAGAACUGCCUUUGAUACUGAAGAUCUUGAGUUCGGGAGAGGUGAGUGGAACUGCGAGUGUAGAGGUGAAAUUCGUAGAUAUUCGCAAGAACACCAGUGGCGAAGGCGGCUCACUGGCCCGAUACUGACGCUGAGGCACGAAAGCGUGGGGAGCAAACAGGAUUAGAUACCCUAGUAGUCC
This 744-nucleotide ribosomal RNA is filed under the name uncultured bacterium. RNAcentral describes it as "bacterial SSU rRNA". It matches the Rfam family "Bacterial small subunit ribosomal RNA", at positions 8 to 796 of the family's 1533-position model. The record is from RNAcentral.